GCACGCAUAGUUUUAAAUCAAACAUUAGGCUGUGAUCCUAGAAAUAGAAGUUAAACUCUUCUUGCCUGCC
RNAcentral lists this transfer RNA (70 nucleotides) under Oxyruncus cristatus (sharpbill). RNAcentral's name for it is "tRNA-His". It matches the Rfam family "tRNA". Rfam says of the family: Transfer RNA (tRNA) molecules are approximately 80 nucleotides in length. Their secondary structure includes four short double-helical elements and three loops (D, anti-codon, and T loops). Further hydrogen bonds mediate the characteristic L-shaped molecular structure. tRNAs have two regions of fundamental functional importance: the anti-codon, which is responsible for specific mRNA codon recognition, and the 3' end, to which the tRNAs corresponding amino acid is attached (by aminoacyl-tRNA synthetases). tRNAs cope with the degeneracy of the genetic code in two manners: having more than one tRNA (with a specific anti-codon) for a particular amino acid; and 'wobble' base-pairing, i.e. permitting non-standard base-pairing at the 3rd anti-codon position. The record is from RNAcentral. Lineage: Eukaryota; Metazoa; Chordata; Aves; Passeriformes; Cotingidae.